This 65-nucleotide transfer RNA is filed under the name Dipodomys ordii (Ord's kangaroo rat). It matches the Rfam family "tRNA". From Rfam's summary of the family: Transfer RNA (tRNA) molecules are approximately 80 nucleotides in length. Their secondary structure includes four short double-helical elements and three loops (D, anti-codon, and T loops). The record is from Rfam by way of RNAcentral. Lineage: Eukaryota; Metazoa; Chordata; Mammalia; Rodentia; Heteromyidae.
GGUGGCUCAGUGAUAGAGUACUUGCCUUGCAUGCAUGAAGCCCUGGGUUUGAUUCCUCAGCACCA